CAGUAGCCGCGGUAAAACGUAGGGUGCAAGCGUUAAUCGGAAUUACUGGGCGUAAAGCGUGCGCAGGCGGUUAUAUAAGACAGAUGUGAAAUCCCCGGGCUCAACCUGGGAACUGCAUUUGUGACUGUAUAGCUAGAGUACGGCAGAGGGGGAUGGAAUUCCGCGUGUAGCAGUGAAAUGCGUAGAUAUGCGGAGGAACACCGAUGGCGAAGGCAAUCCCCUGGGCCUGUACUGACGCUCAUGCACGAAAGCGUGGGGAGCAAACAGGAUUAGAUACCCGUGUAGUCCCUGUCUCUUAUAC
Molecule: ribosomal RNA, 301 nt
Filed under: uncultured bacterium
Lineage: Bacteria
Description: partial 16S ribosomal RNA
Rfam family: Bacterial small subunit ribosomal RNA
Source: RNAcentral